AGGGAGACCUAAUUCCGGUAGGAGACGAAAAAAAAGUAGUCCCAACCAAGAAUCAAUCCCAAAAGGUCGGAGCGAGGCGAAAUUGGCUUUCAAACUAGGUUCUGGGUUCACACAAGACCUGAAUCAGGAACAAGGGCUAUUAGCUCAGGUGGUUAGAGCGCACCCCUGAUAAGGGUGAGGUCCCUGGUUCGAGUCCAGGAUGGCCCACCUGCACAGGUGGCAAAAACAAAGAAAAAAAGCUCCGAAUCAGCACCUUAUCUUACUUAUACAGUAAGAGAGAAUGCUGGCUCUGAGUUCAGAGUCCAGAGGAACCUUGAAAACUGCAUAGAGCUAGGUGAAAAAGCCAAAAAAGAAGACCGCAA
This 362-nucleotide transfer RNA is filed under the name uncultured Microcystis sp. RNAcentral's name for it is "partial 16S ribosomal RNA". The stretch from base 134 to 207 matches the Rfam family "tRNA". Lineage: Bacteria; Bacillati; Cyanobacteriota; Cyanophyceae; Chroococcales; Microcystaceae. The record is from RNAcentral.